AGAAUCAACGCUGGCGGCGUGCCUAACACAUGCAAGUCGAACGAGAAAAGGACUUCGGUCCUGAGUAAAGUGGCGCACGGGUGAGUAACACGUGACUAACCUACCCUUGAGUGGGGAAUAACUUCGGGAAACCGAGGCUAAUACCGCAUAACACCUACGGGUCAAAGGAGCAAUUCGCUUAAGGAGGGGGUCGCGGCAGAUUAGCUAGUUGGCGGGGUAAUGGCCCACCAAGGCAGUGAUCUGUA
RNAcentral lists this ribosomal RNA (245 nucleotides) under uncultured bacterium. RNAcentral's name for it is "partial small subunit ribosomal RNA". It matches the Rfam family "Bacterial small subunit ribosomal RNA", at positions 26 to 285 of the family's 1533-position model. The record is from RNAcentral.